RNAcentral lists this ribosomal RNA (570 nucleotides) under Shigella sonnei. Its description in RNAcentral is "partial 23S ribosomal RNA". It matches the Rfam family "Bacterial large subunit ribosomal RNA", at positions 2168 to 2737 of the family's 2925-position model. The record is from RNAcentral. Lineage: Bacteria; Pseudomonadati; Pseudomonadota; Gammaproteobacteria; Enterobacterales; Enterobacteriaceae.
ACGCCAGUCUGCAUGGAGCCGGCCUUGAAAUACCACCCUUUAAUGUUUGAUGUUCUAACGUGGACCCGUGAUCCGGGUUGCGGACAGUGUCUGGUGGGUAGUUUGACUGGGGCGGUCUCCUCCUAAAGAGUAACGGAGGAGCACGAAGGUUGGCUAAUCCUGGUCGGACAUCAGGAGGUUAGUGCAAUGGCAUAAGCCAGCUUGACUGCGAGCGUGACGGCGCGAGCAGGUGCGAAAGCAGGUCAUAGUGAUCCGGUGGUUCUGAAUGGAAGGGCCAUCGCUCAACGGAUAAAAGGUACUCCGGGGAUAACAGGCUGAUACCGCCCAAGAGUUCAUAUCGACGGCGGUGUUUGGCACCUCGAUGUCGGCUCAUCACAUCCUGGGGCUGAAGUAGGUCCCAAGGGUAUGGCUGUUCGCCAUUUAAAGUGGUACGCGAGCUGGGUUUAGAACGUCGUGAGACAGUUCGGUCCCUAUCUGCCGUGGGCGCUGGAGAACUGAGGGGGGCUGCUCCUAGUACGAGAGGACCGGAGUGGACGCAUCACUGGUGUUCGGGUUGUCAUGCCAAUGGCA